GGGGCUGUAGCUCAGUUGGUAGAGCGCCUGCUUUGCAAGCAGGAUGUCAGGAGUUCGAAUCUCCUCAGCUCCACCA
RNAcentral lists this transfer RNA (76 nucleotides) under bacterium. RNAcentral describes it as "tRNA-Ala". It matches the Rfam family "tRNA". From Rfam's summary of the family: Transfer RNA (tRNA) molecules are approximately 80 nucleotides in length. Their secondary structure includes four short double-helical elements and three loops (D, anti-codon, and T loops). RNAcentral also lists the same sequence under 3 other names. The record is from RNAcentral.